RNAcentral lists this unclassified non-coding RNA (390 nucleotides) under soil metagenome. RNAcentral's name for it is "partial contains 5.8S ribosomal RNA, internal transcribed spacer 2, and large subunit ribosomal RNA". The stretch from base 1 to 120 matches the Rfam family "5.8S ribosomal RNA", at positions 35 to 154 of the family's 154-position model. The record is from RNAcentral.
GAUGAAGAACGCAGCGAAAUGCGAUAAGUAAUGUGAAUUGCAGAAUUCCGUGAAUCAUCGAAUCUUUGAACGCAUAUUGCGCCCUCUGGUAUUCCGGAGGGCAUGCCUGUCCGAGCGUCAUUACUAUCUUCAAGCACGGCUUGGUUGUUGAGCCAAUUGUCCUUUUAAUGGACAGGCUUAAAAUCCAGUGGCGAUGCGGAGUCCUGGUGCCCGAGCGUAUGGAGCUCUGUCACACGCUUUAGUGGUCCAGCCGGCAUAUUGGCCUUGGAGCGCAGCACAUUUUGCGCUUCUAGUCAUGAAUGUUGGCGUCCAUUAAGCCUAUACAUUUGCUCUUGACCUCGGAUCAGGUAGGGAUACCCGCUGAACUUAAGCAUAUCAAUAAGCGGAGGA